Molecule: ribosomal RNA, 440 nt
Filed under: uncultured bacterium
Lineage: Bacteria
Description: partial 16S ribosomal RNA
Rfam family: Bacterial small subunit ribosomal RNA
Source: RNAcentral
CCUACGGGUGGCAGCAGUGGGGAAUAUUGCACAAUGGGGGAAACCCUGAUGCAGCGACGCCGCGUGGGGGAAGAAGUAUUUCGGUAUGUAAAGCUCUAUCGUCAGGGAAGAGAAUGACGGUACCUGAGGAAGAAGCACCGGCUAACUACGUGCCAGCAGCCGCGGUAAUACGUAGGGGGCAAGCGUUAUCCGGAUUUACUGGGUGUAAAGAGAGCGUAGACGGCGAAGCAAGUCUGAAGUGAAAGCCCACGGCUCAACCGAGGAACUGCUUUGGAAACUUUUUUGCUGGAGUACCGGAGAGGUAAGCGGAAUUCUUAGUGUAGCGGUGAAAUGCGUAGAGAUUAGGAGGAAUACUAGUUGCGAAGGCGACUUACUGGACCGUAACUGACGUUGAGGCUCGAAAGCGUGGGGAGCAAACAGGAUUAGAUACCCUUGUAGUC